AUGAGUUCCUGUCUCGGCUCCGUAAGGAGUUUGAGCCCCGGCGUGCUCAGUUGUUUGCUCGUGGCCGUAUUUCUCUCAUGGAGGCGCUUUCUGAGAUUCGUGCUGAGGAGACUCGCUUACAUGGUGCUGGUUUGCUGGAGGUUCCCUCUGUGCUCGCUACUCGUGCUCCUAUGCCACCUGCUGCACCGACCCCUUCUCGCUCGAGUACUCCGCCGCUCUUGCUCACUCCUUCUGGAGGCUCAGGUCGCCCCCGUCCACAUUGCGACUAUUGCAGCAAUGAUGGUCAUCUUGAGUCUCAGUGCUACACGAAGAAGAAACACCUGCGCAAGGCUCGAUCAUCAUCUUCAGGGACUUCGUCAUCUACCUCGACAACUUCAGCCAUUGCUUUGA
RNAcentral lists this ribosomal RNA (390 nucleotides) under Triticum aestivum (bread wheat). RNAcentral's name for it is "partial small subunit ribosomal RNA". Lineage: Eukaryota; Viridiplantae; Streptophyta; Magnoliopsida; Poales; Poaceae. The record is from RNAcentral.